AGAAAUGGUUUAUUUGAAUUACAUUGCUGGCAUUGUGUCCAUAAGCGGUUCAGGUGUUAUUAUCCCCAGUGACAUGCUUACUACAUUCCCAUACACAGAAUGACUUUCAGCCUAAGAAACAUUUGUAAGGCUAUUCCUACCAAAACCAAAAUGACAAUUGUUUUAUACUGGUCCAGUUUUUCAUCUUUAUUUUGUUCUUCAAGUCACCUGAGAAAUAUUUCUAUGUUAACAGAAGAUACCAUUUCAGUUUACAUCUUAAACUAUACUUUGUCCCCAGAUGAUGUUACAAAAUGAAUUGCAUUCAGGCAGAAGCUUCUCAAGCACAACUGCUCCAUUUAAUAGUAGCAUAUAAGCAUUCAGCUCCCAAUCCCUGGAGCUCUCCCUUUGUGAGCAGUUAUAGUGUCAGACCUAAACUGGCAAGGUGGUUUAGAGAAUCCAGUUUUUCUGAGUCAGUCAACUUAUAUCGUGAAAUAUACAACCCUUUUUUUUUUUUUUCUCUCUGUUUUAAACUAGGCAACCAAGAAACGGAAAGAAAUCAGAAGUCUUUUGUCAGCUUCUGAGCUUCAGAAAAGAGAAGAUGAGCUACAGGGACAGCAGAAGGAAGCACUUUCUCUGUGACAGAAUAAGGAUGAUCUUCAUAUUGAGCUCUAGCCUCAAGAAAUUAGAUUUAGUGGCUCUAAGCUGACUUGUGCAAAAUGGAAUCUGAGAUAAAAAA
Molecule: long non-coding RNA, 715 nt
Organism: Neopsephotus bourkii (Bourke's parrot)
Lineage: Eukaryota; Metazoa; Chordata; Aves; Psittaciformes; Psittacidae
Exons: 3
Source: RefSeq, a predicted model, not a curated record